AGGUGCUUGACCGGCUGCGCCGCCCAACCCUGGUGGUCAAUGCACUCGACGACCCGUUUCUG
This 62-nucleotide transfer RNA is filed under the name Diaphanoeca grandis. The record is from RNAcentral. Lineage: Eukaryota; Choanoflagellata; Acanthoecida; Stephanoecidae.